UACAGAGGUCCCCAAGCGUUGUUCGGAUUCACUGGGCGUAAAGGGUGCGCAGGUGGUCGGGUAAGUCUGAUGUGAAAUCCCGCAGCUCAACUGCGGAAUGGCAUUGGAUACUAUUUGGCUAGAGGGUUGGAGGGGGGACUGGAAUUCUCGGUGUAGCAGUGAAAUGCGUAGAUAUCGAGAGGAACAUCAGUGGCGAAGGCGAGUCCCUGGACAACUCCUGACGCUGAGGCACGAAAGCUAGGGGAGCAAACAGG
Molecule: ribosomal RNA, 254 nt
Filed under: uncultured bacterium
Lineage: Bacteria
Description: partial 16S ribosomal RNA
Rfam family: Bacterial small subunit ribosomal RNA
Source: RNAcentral